RNAcentral lists this ribosomal RNA (1466 nucleotides) under Streptococcus thermophilus. RNAcentral describes it as "bacterial SSU rRNA". It matches the Rfam family "Bacterial small subunit ribosomal RNA". The record is from RNAcentral. Lineage: Bacteria; Bacillati; Bacillota; Bacilli; Lactobacillales; Streptococcaceae.
AACGCUGGCGGCGUGCCUAAUACAUGCAAGUAGAACGCUGAAGAGAGGAGCUUGCUCUUCUUGGAUGAGUUGCGAACGGGUGAGUAACGCGUAGGUAACCUGCCUUGUAGCGGGGGAUAACUAUUGGAAACGAUAGCUAAUACCGCAUAACAAUGGAUGACACAUGUCAUUUAUUUGAAAGGGGCAAUUGCUCCACUACAAGAUGGACCUGCGUUGUAUUAGCUAGUAGGUGAGGUAAUGGCUCACCUAGGCGACGAUACAUAGCCGACCUGAGAGGGUGAUCGGCCACACUGGGACUGAGACACGGCCCAGACUCCUACGGGAGGCAGCAGUAGGGAAUCUUCGGCAAUGGGGGCAACCCUGACCGAGCAACGCCGCGUGAGUGAAGAAGGUUUUCGGAUCGUAAAGCUCUGUUGUAAGUCAAGAACGGGUGUGAGAGUGGAAAGUUCACACUGUGACGGUAGCUUACCAGAAAGGGACGGCUAACUACGUGCCAGCAGCCGCGGUAAUACGUAGGUCCCGAGCGUUGUCCGGAUUUAUUGGGCGUAAAGCGAGCGCAGGCGGUUUGAUAAGUCUGAAGUUAAAGGCUGUGGCUCAACCAUAGUUCGCUUUGGAAACUGUCAAACUUGAGUGCAGAAGGGGAGAGUGGAAUUCCAUGUGUAGCGGUGAAAUGCGUAGAUAUAUGGAGGAACACCGGUGGCGAAAGCGGCUCUCUGGUCUGUAACUGACGCUGAGGCUCGAAAGCGUGGGGAGCGAACAGGAUUAGAUACCCUGGUAGUCCACGCCGUAAACGAUGAGUGCUAGGUGUUGGAUCCUUUCCGGGAUUCAGUGCCGCAGCUAACGCAUUAAGCACUCCGCCUGGGGAGUACGACCGCAAGGUUGAAACUCAAAGGAAUUGACGGGGGCCCGCACAAGCGGUGGAGCAUGUGGUUUAAUUCGAAGCAACGCGAAGAACCUUACCAGGUCUUGACAUCCCGAUGCUAUUUCUAGAGAUAGAAAGUUACUUCGGUACAUCGGUGACAGGUGGUGCAUGGUUGUCGUCAGCUCGUGUCGUGAGAUGUUGGGUUAAGUCCCGCAACGAGCGCAACCCCUAUUGUUAGUUGCCAUCAUUCAGUUGGGCACUCUAGCGAGACUGCCGGUAAUAAACCGGAGGAAGGUGGGGAUGACGUCAAAUCAUCAUGCCCCUUAUGACCUGGGCUACACACGUGCUACAAUGGUUGGUACAACGAGUUGCGAGUCGGUGACGGCGAGCUAAUCUCUUAAAGCCAAUCUCAGUUCGGAUUGUAGGCUGCAACUCGCCUACAUGAAGUCGGAAUCGCUAGUAAUCGCGGAUCAGCACGCCGCGGUGAAUACGUUCCCGGGCCUUGUAUUACACCGCCCGUCACACCAGGAGAGUUUGUAACACCCGAAGUCGGUGAGGUAACCUUUUGGAGCCAGCCGCCUAAGGUGGGACAGAUGAUUGGGGU